RNAcentral lists this long non-coding RNA (13991 nucleotides) under Gallus gallus (chicken). The record is from RNAcentral. Lineage: Eukaryota; Metazoa; Chordata; Aves; Galliformes; Phasianidae.
AGAACCUUUGCAGCGUGCACAACUGCUGUCUCCUGCCAGCUUUCUGAAUCCUUGCGUCUGUGCUGUACUUCUUACUCUGAACUACGUGACGCCUGAGAUGUAGCUAAGUCUUCCCAAGUCUCUUGGUAUGCAGAGGAAGGAGGAAGGUACUGAAGGUUAUACAACUAACACCUCUGUACUUAAUGCUGCUGAAAUUUGCUUUAAGGUCAUACACAACUGGAGGUCAAGAAAGCUGUUUCCAUAAGAAUUAGUUUCAACGCAGUGCAGCGCUGUCCACCUGUAGUAGUGUUGAAAAUAUGCAUUUAUGUGCUCUGAAGGCUGAGCUCUUCCACUUGCAGCGUUUCGCGGCCCGAUGCAUGCUUUGGAUAAAAGAGGUCUGUGUUUCUAGCUGCUGCUGCAGCCAUUACUGAGGGAAAAGCUGGCACUGUCAGGAUUAAAUAUGAGAAGUGGUGCCACAGUAUCACAUUAGAUGGAGUGUUUUACUUAUGCUUUCGUAAUUGAGCUACUGGCUGUUGCGUUAGUUAGAGAAAGCAACAGAGGAGCUUCAGGCUGAAUAUCCACCCUUGUCAGUCAGUUUCUCUUGCUCUUUUCUGCUUUUUGUUGUUGUUAUUUUUUAAACCUUUUGCUAUCAGCAUUCCUUUCAUAGUGCUGGUUCUGACCAGAGACCUCUGCAGCUGUGCAAUGAAUGCUGUUACGUUCAGCAGGAUCAAAGCAAGUUGCGUGUGCUGCCUUGUGCAUGCUGGGAUUGGUGGAUUCAGCUCCCGGCAGCUUGAAGCCAUUGCUCUGGAGGUGUAGGAGGGUACAGAACCAGCGUGCCCAUACAGCCACAGCACUGCUCCGGGAUCUGUGCAAGGAUCUCACUGCAGCAUUCUUCCUUUGGCAACACCAACGCUUGGCAGGUAAACCACACUUCAGAUGUACAAGCAAACAGCGCGUGUCUAUUAAAUUAAUGGAAAACUCAUUUUAUUUUAAACUCUGUAAAAGCUGUAAUUAUAAAUAUGACAAACUUAAAUGAACAUACAUCACUGGGGAGUACAGGUAAAUCAGCAAGUUUUUUUCCAGUUACUUUUCUGUUGGAAUCUUUACGUAUCCUGAUGUGUAAUGUGAUAGUAGCUGCCUUCAUGGGUAUAAAAAUAAGCCUCUGGUGUAUCAAAGUAUUUGUGAGCAGCGAGAAUGUAUAAAGCAACAGUUAACGUAGGAAUUCUUCUACUCUUUGGCAUUAUCACACAAAUUAAUAUGUCCUUGUUUGACUAAGCAAUGAAAACCUCUGUGGUUCUGUACGUAGAUUUAAUUGUAAGCAGCCAGUUGUUCCAACACCGUAUUGUCUGCAUGGUCAGCUGUGUAAUCACUGUACAAAACAGUUCAGUGAGACUUGCAGCAGCAAAGUAUGACUGAAACUCAAGACUCAUGAGGCAGAUGCAAGAGGAAGUGUUGUUACCAUUCAUCCAUGUACUGAAUUGCAGAAAGCCUUGGAAAACUGAUGGGUCUGACUACGAAGGACUCAUCCCAUGCAUUCCCAGCAUAACAACCAGAGAUGCAUGUGCUGGGGGGGGGGGGGUGGCUCAUCCUGAGUUACCAAAAGCAGCACACAGGGUCUUGUAUGGAGCUCUAAGGUAGGAUUUAAAACAAACAAAAACCCCAAACCAAAAUACAGAAAAGCUUUCUCAGUGUAUAAGCAUGGAGAACGUUAAAACUUCUGAAGAGGGUUCUCCAGUUGUCCCUCAGCACCAAUGACAGAAGUAAAAAUCAUCUAUUUGUUGUAAUCUUCCCUCAGUGAAUCAAAGAAAGUAUAAACGCUCUUAGAGCUCCUCCCAACAUCCAGCUUUCAUUGGUAUUUGGCUGCCUUGUUUUGCAGCUUGGACAGUUUUCAAUAGUCACAUACUGUACACUCAGAGUGAAGUAUGCUUGUUGGUAAAUUUAAUGAGGUUUUGUAUUUUCAUGUUUAAAAGGCAGAGAAGAGUUGAGGGUCAUAACUGUCAUGGUGGAAGUGAUGUGGGCAGUGUUCCCUUGCUCCACUCUGAGCUGUGGCUGUGCAGCUCUUUCAGUUCCCCUCCCUACAGCUGGAAGUUUUGCAGUACAACCUUUCCCAGCUUAACUCAGUAUCUAAUAUUCUGUCAUAGCAUUUUUUAAUCUCUAUGGUGUAAUCAUAGCAAUGAAGUAAGGGAAAGAAUAACAUAACCCGUGUCUUCAGCUGAGGCUGUGCUGUAAUUUAAGGAGCAGUUCACCCUCCACUCAUUUUUUUCAGAUUUGUGGAAAAAAAAAAAAAAGAGUUAUGUAUUUGGCAGAAGAGAUCAAAGGAAAAUACAGAUACUUAUGUGAACAAUUUCUCUAAGAAAAAAGGGGCAAGAAAAUACCAUAAGAGGAAUUUGUUACAAGCAGAAGGGGCAGAGACUGGAGCGUGUUACAAGAAUAUUUUCUAUUUCCUUGGAAACACUACACCUGAGCAUUCUGUAAACAGUGAUAUUCCACUGACCAUGUAGGUGCAGUAUUUGAAUAAGACUUAAUUAAAAGGGCAGCAAUACCAAACUUCAGUCCUGUCCCCUUACAGGCAUAAGCCCCAUCCACUGACUACUGUGUGUAACGUGUUGCUAAGAUACAGCAUUGGUGGAGCAUUGAGAAAGUAAGUACGUUCCUUGCUCUUGCUUCAGUACAAUAUGGAAGCUGAGCCUUAUAUGCUUGUUUCUUCCACCAUAAGCUUUGGCACCAGCAUGUGCUUGGAGGAGGAAGAAAUAAAUAAACAGAAAAAACUUACUCUAGACCAGAAUCCUAGUACAGAUGAGAACUUGAUUUUACUGUGGUCUACCAGCUUGAUCUUAACAGCUGGGGAGAAGUAAGAGCAGUUCUGGCAUCUGCCUUUUGUAAUUUUGAAAGUUCAGAUGUCAUAGGUGAUAAAAUACAUGCAGGACUGCUGCCCUGCUUUAACCUGAGCAAAACACAUAACACAGGGUUACAGGGAACACGUAAGCAAAUGAAGUUUAAAUUCAGUAGGGAGGAACGGUCCUUGGCACAACUGGCUGCACCCAGAAGCCCAGGACAGCUGCGAAGAACCUAAUAGGUUUUUGCUCAGCUUAUGCCCAUGCUGUUCUCUGUGCUGAUAUGCUGCAAAAGGUGGUACAUCACACUGAGAAAGCUCAGCACAAGGCCCACAUGGCCUCUGAGAGAACUGCAGUCCGAAAAGGUGUGUGUGUGUGUGUGUGUGUACUCACUGUCCUUUGAAAGCCAGACGUUCACUAACCAGCUGCCUGAUGGUGGAGAUGAAGUAGAAAGGAGCUCCGACUAUCUGGAGAGGGCCAAGAGACUUCUGCAGGAGUAAUUUUACCCCCAGGUAUUUCUGGUUCUUCUGUAGCACAUGCUGAGUUUCCUAACAAACAAGUGGCACCUGUGCUCUGAAAAUGCCACCUUUUUGCUUGAAAACUUGACAAACAGGAAGGGCAAAGAGCUUCCUGUGGUGGCUUUAAAAGCACCCUUUUGUCACAGGCAGUUCUGUCAUUCAAGGAAAAAACAACCAGCAACAUUAAGAUCAGUUAGUAUUUGAAUUAAGAAGGAAAGAAACUCAGUUAUCGUUAAUCCUCUUCAGCUAUUCUGUGUGUGUAUAUCUUAUAGGAAUGCAGGCAAUAGCCUUCUAACAAUGUUUUUCCUGGAGUCAUCCCAAUUCCACUGCUUUCUUAAGAACUUUAACCGUGUUCCUACUGCUGCCACUGGCCAACUGCUACACUUUUUCAUCAGUUUCAAUUUAGAAGCAAAAGGUACCUUCCAGAACAGAGAUCUUCAAUACCAGGAGCAGCAAGCCCCCUUCUAGCAGCUGCAGUUCAGGAAGGGAGGAGGCUUAAAUGAUCCUUCUCCUAUGAGCCAAACACUUGUAAAAGUAACAAGGAUAAAACAUUGCUUUGCUAGAGUGCCAAUAGUGGGUAGUUCACUCUCCCAGCAGCACCAGCAAAUGAGGCUACUUCAGUUGGUACAGAGAAUCUUCUGGCACACCUUUGGAUGAAAACCUUUUCCCCUCUGCCAAGUGAAGGGCAUGCUCUGCUCACUGCUGGUGGUUACCCUCCCCAUCUCAAUGCUGAUCCCCAUCUGGUGGUGGGGUCUGGCAGCUUGCAGUAAGAAAGCCAUAUCUGCCUUGUGCUAUGAUGCGUACUAAAGUAACACAAAAUUAUUGUUCAGAUAGUAAGAGUGAAUCCUUUGCUUUUUUUAGAAGUAGCUAAAGCUGAGGUCUUCCUUAUCUUUUACUCCUGUGUACAUACUUGAGAUAAGCUGAACAUGAUUAGUGGCAGUCUGGAAUAUGUGCUUAGCAGCUAUGAACUCACAUUUAAACGUGAGAAGUGCUUCAAUGCUGUAAACAGUCGAGGCAGCAGUAUAAAUGGCAAUUACUACAUAGUUGGGCCUGAGAAUGAAUAAGCAGAAUACACAAGGAUAUUUUUCUUACAUUUUUACAUUUCAGAAUAAAAUCUUCUACCCCUAGACCUGUACUUUAGGAGGAGAGAAUUUCAGUGUUAGUUUUUCUCUGAACUCACUAGAUUUUGAUUUGAACUGUAGAAAAACUGCAGCAAAUUAUGUUCUUCCAGUUUGUCUGAAUAUAGCACUUUAGCUUGUUCACAGGCCUGCUGAACAGUGCUCAUGCCAAUACUAUAGCAGCAAAAACCACAUCUAAUUUUCUGUCACGAUCAACUGCCAAAUUGGUGACUGUGUUCUUGGCUAUAACUUAGAAUGCGAUUUUAUUUUAUGCAUAUCUGUAGUAAGUUAUUCACCUUUCUGAGGCUGCAGGGCAGUUCAGGAGUACGUCCUUAAACAGCCAUGCAUCAGUCUGUCUCCUCACUGAAGCUGCGAUACCCUAAGAGGAGAAGUGCUAUUAAAAUCUAAGAAAAAAGGGCCCUCUUGUUGAGGCAGGAAGGUGGUGGGGAUAAUGUUGUAGACUCCGGCGAGGAUGUUCUCCACUUCCAGGUAGCAAAAUCCACACCUAUGAUAAAAGAAGCGAUUUCUUACAACCAAGGUCUGAAAUGUUUCAAGCAGUGAAGAUUCCAUUGAAUCAACUAUUUAUUACCUGUAGUCCCCACUGCUCUUCUUCUGAAAGCCAUAGGAACCAGGAUCUCCUACUGUUGAGACAGUGACAAUUUCAAACCCAACGCUGUACUGCCUGCAAGCCAAGUGACAGACCAUUACUUUAAUUGUGGGGGGAAUCGGGGCUAGCAGGAGGAGAGUAAGUUUAUGAAAACUGUAUAGCUGGAAUACAUUUAGGUUUUGUCACAUUUGUGACAGAAAUGUCAGAGAAGCUUACCGUGACAUGAAUGUGCAGAUUGGAGGAAGAUGCAUUUUGGUUUCAGAACUCUAUCUGGUAAAUGUCUGCUAGCUUUCUGCCUCUGCACCAAAGCAGAGCCCAAGUGGUUAAACUUGCAGUGAGAUGCUCCUGGGCUGAGCAGCACAGGUUUUGGGCUGUAAUCUGAUCACCAUCAGAGGAACGUGAAUGUUGGUGAUCUCAGCACAAUUCUCAUGUUUCACUGCAACCUGGGACAAUUUGUCUACUACCUCUUCAUGAAUGUGGCAGGCACUGCUGGCUCUGUCAGUCAAACUACUCUAGUAUGACCUACUAAUGCAGAAAAUGCAAACAGAAAAGGAAUACCAGAAGUGAGAAAGUGCUUCCUCUUACCCUUUAUUAGGUAUCAUAAAGAAUACUGACACAUACUGCAAAGGGGUUUGAGAGGAUCAUACCACUUGAACCACGUUUUAAGUUAGACCUGUUUUAUAUUCUACUUUCUUGAAUUUCCUCAGUAGCAAGCAUGCAGAUUUAAAUCACUAUUGAUGGCAACGUUAGAAACAAACAGCGCUAUACCUGCUUAAUAUAAAGCUUAAUAUAGCUGCUUCCCCUAUCUUAUCUCUGGCUUUUCCAGGAUCUUCUCACCCCUCCCUUGGAGGACUGACAAUUUAUCCUUAGCGCGUGAUACUCUCAGUGUACAGAAGCAUGUAUGACAUACCUUGGUCCACGCAGUUCAAUUAGUAAUGGCCCACUCUUGUCCAGUUGGAAUUGAUAGAUGGGGUUAUUUUUGUAGCUGUCUCUGAAGUUCCCACAUCCUCCAGCACUGUGACCUUUCCAUUGUCCGUUAACCUAAGAAGUCAGAAAUACAGAAAAUAUUUUAUAUCCUGAGAAUUUGUGUAUAGAUAAGCAAUGCAAGGCUUGAAGCACCUCUCACUUCAGUUGUCACUGACUACAGUAAUCUUGGAAUCCUUAAAGAGUAAGUGACAGUCAGAACGUGAUGGUAUUCAGCAAGUUUAACUACCUGACUCAAAGCUUUAGAUCCCUUAUGAAGGUAAUAUUAUUCAGCUCACAAAUACCAGGUAGCUGCUUCUGACUAUAAAAGAUCGCAUCUGAUGAAGGAUCUCUAUUCCCAUCUAUCCUGGAGCUGCUCAACUGUGCAGGUUUUUUUUGCUGCUGUUUUCCCUGACAAAACCAAAACAACAACAAACCUUUGUUGUGCUAAAUGAGAAACAAAAAACAGCAUAAGUACAACACUACUGGUGUUGUAGCCUUUGCUUUGGGAAUCUCUCCCUCCAGCACUGCCCAUUCACCACUGUGCACUCUGAGAAGCAGCACUACUGAGACAAAGAUAGCCAUAAGGACAGGCUCCAAAAGGACAAAGAAAUACAAGAGACAGAACGUUGCUCAGAUUUUAAGAAACGGGCCAUCUGUUUGCAAGUUCCUCCUGCUAGUCAUUAAAUGAAACUUCUAAAACAUGCCAGGCAUUCACAAAGUUAUAGCUGAGCUGCAGUCCCUAUAUGUUACUUCCCUCCCCUCUCUGUCAAACCUGUGGUUUAGUUUCUCUACUCAGUGUCCAAAACCCUCAAAUGUGACAAGUCAGGAAAGUAAGGGGGGUUUCUUCCCCCACCACACAACCUGAGGCUGCUGUGAAUUUCCAGGCCUUUUCUACCUCAACUGUGCUUUCCUCCAGGAAUCCCACUGCAGCUGGGUUAGCACAACAGAUGACCACCCAACUUCGCUACAAGCCAUCUCAACAAUGCUUUCUUUGACUGGCAAAUUGUGAAUUACUUAUCUGCUUGUCUUUAAAUGCAGUGACUGCAAUACAGUUACCAAACAAGAAUUAAGCAGGCAACUAGCCUUCUGUAUUUAAUCAUUUAGACAGAGCUAGUUAUGGACAGAUAAAACAUGCCUUUUAUUUGAAUAGUAGACAGACAUCUUCAAAUAGUUAACAGGAGGCUUCCACGUACUUAAUUCUCUUUUGAAACUAACACAGUGUAAAACAGAUGACAUGUCUUAAGCAGGCAUGUCAUCUUCGGUGCAUUUUUCACUUCUUAAACCAUUCUGCCAAACUAAGCUUAGUUUUUUAGAGCUAAGUGGAAACAGUGGUUUCUGGAACAAUUGAGGAUACGGUCACAUUGUUCCCAGGAAUCUCUCUGGCUACUUACUGUGCUCCUGAGCUGGUGAGAUUCAAGGACAGUAAGAACAGCAGCACAUGGCCUCCAGACCACCUGGGCUUCUCACUUAUUUUAGCCAAGCAUUUGCUCUUACCACCUGGUGCUGCUCUACUCUCAGGGAGCAUUUCUAUAUGAAAUACACCAUCUGUGUACUGUCUUAUUCCUAUCUGACAGCGUGAGUGCUUAUCCCAGUGAUAACAGACCUUUGAGAUUUCUUAGUAACUUUAAGACCUGUAAGGUAUUGUGACCAUCAUAAGUAAGAAGUCCAUUUGUCACAGUAUCAGUAGUGGUGCCUUUGCUUUGCCACUGCUGCUUAUGCCCUGUGGUGCCAAGAAUUUUAGAAGACAAUAAUGCACUUCCUCAAAAGUGAGCAACACUCUGCACACUCAUUACAUAUUAGGGGAGAGGUUGUUACUCCAAAGGUUCCACAAAAGAUUUUGUAUCUGCACCAGUACAGCUGUAAUACUCUUAUGAUGAAGAUAGAGCCUAUAUACUGAAUAGGACUUUCAUGCUGCUAAAAGUUACGCCACUAUCCUUACUAGUAAAAAGAGUUAGCCAGCUACCAAAGGCUUUUUUAUUAUGAACAAUGCUUAAAGCAGCUAAUUGUUCGGCAAGUUAUAUGCAACCUAAGCACAGGGUUGAUCUUGCACUAGGUAUGCUAGAUUAAGCUCUAGUUGACCUCCUUAAUUAAAGAAGUUCGGUUUUUUAGAAGACAGCCUGAGCUGGCAUUUCUGGACAUUAGUGGAAAGUUAUGUUUAGAAACCAUAUACAUCUCAAACAUAGAAAGACCACAGCAGAAUAAUUACUUAGUAACUCAUAAAAAAAUUCUUUACCCGUUUGGAAAUGGUGUAAGGUGUAGGGAUCUUGGAAAAGGUAAACUUGCACAAGGAGUACACCUGUGUGGUAAAAGCAGACGUUGGUCAUACGUUCAUCUGGCAUUUCUCAAGACAUAUUAAAAGAAAAAACAAAAAGCAGAACUACCUACAAAUAUUUUUUUAGAUACUUGCUAUAUUUACAUGCUUUAAAAACAACCACAAAGGAAAUACAGCCUUAGUACUUGGGCUCCAGUGACUUCUUUCUGUCUUACCUAUCUCUUAUCAGAAGGCAUUUCAGAGGACAAGGAAAGGUAAUGCCUGAUGGCAAAAGGAGUUCCCCACCACCACUGUAUUGUAUUGACACCCUAUAUUGUCUCAGCUGCAAUGGAGAAUAUUAUCAAGCAGGUGAUCCAGUGAUUCUGCUCCAUCAUUCACAGCCUCCCUCCCCUAAGUAACAUGGGCCCAGAAGUGUGCUCAUUCAUCACAUUGACAAAUAAAGGACACUGUGCAUAUUUAUUUACAUUUGUUAUGAAAUCAACAGUACAUACCCUGAUGGUGUAAUGGAUAGUGUUUUGUUUCUCAUACUGAGACACCACUAAUGUGAACGUAUGCGUUCCUGGAGAGGUCAGCUUUAUCUUGGUCAGAUAAUGAGGACUGUUGAUCCGAAUGCCAUCGAUAUAUGGAACAGGAUCAGCUGAAAAAGAAAAGAAUGAACACUUCUCCCAGUCAGAAACCUCCCAGCCAUUUAUAAUCAGUGAAUUCUGCCCAGAAAGUCAGACUGUUGGUACUAUCCUUAGACUACAAGCAGACUUGAGUGCUUUCAGAAGAAAAGAGCCUGAAGAUUUGCUCAUAGAAAGCACGGACAGGUAAGAGCAACUAUCAUUUUCUAAGAUGUACAUCACACGACAGGACAAAUUCUGCACUUGAAAGUACAGCCUAAAUGACUUGAGAGAACUACUUGUCCAGCUCUCACCGACGUCUCUGUUCAAAGGAGUCCUACUAUGAUUAUGUUGAAAUUUAUAGAAAAAGAUAAGGAAUGUUUGAGCACUCCAUAAAAUUCAAUGAGAAGUCUGCUAGAGAAGCUCCCUUCUCUGUUGAUAGGGCAGCUGCAGUUGGUAGACAAGACUUUGCAAUAUGUUCGUGUCUUUGAGAAACAAAAACACAUCUCCAUCUCUCUCCCUCUCUCUUACGAUCACUACACAAUACAAAUCCAGUAUUCAUUAUAAGCAUCCCAAACAUUUUCCUUUUACAAUUACACAAUACGAUUUGUUAUCUGGUCUCUAAUUGGUUACUUCCAGAAUUCUUUUAAUUUUAGUGAAGCAGAAACAAAUCUAGCCAAUUACUUCAAUAGACCCAGGAUCAGGUCCUUUGUUUUCUUCCACAAAGCAAAUGAUUAAUAUAAAACAACCAGAAGCUUAGGAAUGGGAAAUCCCUGAAUCAGUGCCAAAGGAUUAACCUGUUUUCUUCUGAUCUCAUUUUAACAGAUGGUAAAAAUAACACUGUAGCUUGACCAAUCUAUCUCCAUGGAAAAAGGUUUCAAAUGAGUUUGAGCUCAUGAAAUUAAAAGUUUAUGAAAGAGUUUGGUUAUCGAGACAAAACAGACCAAUCAUCCAGCUCUCCUUAAUGGUCUUGCUGGAAAACUGCCUUUUUCAACGUACAGAAGUGUAUUGUUUGCUGACCUGAAUGUUUUCAGUAUAACAGAUAGAAAAUAAGCACUGCUACAACUAACAGCAUCACAGGCAUGCCUUGGGCAGUAAGGACAAGCAAAUUCUUUAACGAGAUCAGCUCGUGCACAACCUGAUGUUUUGGGAAGGUCUCAGUGGAUGUUUUCUACUGAAAGACAGCUUGGAUUCUAGGCAAACUGGUUGGCAGAGUACACUGAACAAGACCAGAGAUGAACCCCACAACCAUUAUCAGCUAUUCCAAUAGGUUAAAAAAAACAAAAACAAACAAAAACAUUAAACAAAGAAACCCAAAUGAGAAAAAAAAGCACAGAUUCCACUCUUUGUUCAGAAGAGCUUUAAAAGCUCCUAUUAUCUGUUACAUGAGCAUUAACCCUUACUUCCUGUGUCUAUCUUUCCUGGAAUAUAAUAUACAUGGCCUUUUUGCAGCUGCAAUAAAGCUCCAAAAAUCAAGUAGGGUUAAGAUCUUAAGCACAUACAGCUUGGCUUAUUCCUUCCAUGCAGUCUGUUAAGGUGGUCAGAGGGCUGAACGACUACAUCAGAAGACUGACCUCAUAGAGUGAGCUUUGCAGCAUUAAAACAAACUGUGCCUCUCUUUCCCACAGAACUCUCUGCAAGCGUUCAUUUAUUCUUAAGCAUCACCUUUUUUGACAGUUGAGGUAUACUAACCUGGAUAGUAAACUUUUUUGCCAUCAGUCUUGUAUACAACCAUAGUAAUAAAUUCCCUAUUGUGUGCAAAGUCAUCCUAUAAAAAAAAAACCAAAACAAAUGGAGUUAUAAGCUUCUGUGGAAUAUAACUAGCAUUUAAUCUAAAUCAAACACACAUUCUCCCACUCUUUUGAUCACCACAUGCUAUGGUCCGAUAGUUGCGUUUAUCUUUUUAAAUGUCUGAAUUAAACCAACUACCACUAAUUCAACUGAAAAGAAGUUCAGGCCCUUGGGAGUCAGAAUUACUUUGGUACUCUUAUGGUGGAAUAUAAUCCCCUCACUCAAUUUUUACACUGGGUCUCUCUCGACCAUCUUGUAAGCAGGUAACCGUACUGCUGAUUUAAAGUUUAUGCAUAUACAUGCACACAUACCUGGAACAUGCAACAUAAUACUGUUUAUAUUUACAUCACAGACAGAUACUACAGAGCUCAGAAUAUGGAAAGCACAAGGAGAGAACUCCCACCUUAUCUGUGAUGUGUCUACUCAGCAGCACCCAGACCACAGCUCCACCCUGUGGGCACUGCACCUCCAGCUUGUACUGCGGGUUGUUGGCCAGGCUGUAGGCAUCCUUCACCGGGCCUUGCUUUGCAUCCCAAGUACUAGGAGCAAUGCAGACAUUUCAGCAGAUCAGAUUUGAAAACAAAGAGACUUAUACUUCUCUAACUGUAGGAUGCUUCAUAUGAGCUGUUAUGUCCAAAAGCUUGCUUUUUUUUUUUCCUCCCUCCCUCCUCCUCUACAGACUUCAGGUACACUUUUGAAUAAAAAUUAACCUGCUUAAUGUUUGGAAAGGUGCUUGGUACCUUGAGGUAUCUGAUUACCAAACCUGCCUUGGGAACUGUCUAGACAAGGAAAACAUGGGGGAAAAAAAAUGGUGCUGACGACAGCACAAAGCAUGACACACAGGGAACAGAAACGGAUAAAACUAUUUGUGUCAUUGACACUCCCCACCCCUUUGAACUGAAUAGCAUUUGUGAAUGGCUGCAUUAUUAACUAAGCUUCAAUUUAUCUCUGUUAUUAUUGCCACUAUUUAGGGCAGUUAUCACUGUGCUAGACACUGCCCUACACAGAGGUAUGACAAUCAUUAAUAAUACAAGGAAAUACAGAGUAGAAGAUGACUGAAUGUGUAUGUUCAUCUCAGAGACCAUUUUGCUACAUCAUGACAGCCCAUUUUGGAGUCAAUCUGAACACAAAGGUGGAAAGAGCCUUUACAGACAAAUUGAGAAGUUGUACUAUUGAUGAUGGAGCUCGUGCAGAGCUAACUUAUACAGAAGCCAUGUGGAAGCAGGGGUGAAGUGUGAUAUACUGCACCAGAGAAACAAAUAAACUUCCAGAAACAGAGGCACUUGUCUUCUAACUGGGUUAGAAAAAGACUGAAUGAGAUGAAUACUAGGAGAGAGACAGGUGUCGUGUUCAAAUAAAUUGAUGGCUAGAGAAGAUAACAUACAAUUGGUGAGAAAUGGACUUUGACUCCUACGGCAUGAGCAAACACACCUUGUAAAGACAACAUGCACUGCACAAAUGGCUUGGAACUGCCAAGUAAAAUGAAUUCCAAGUAAAAGUUAGGACACUGAAGCACUGCCUAGUGACUGAGUAAACUAACACCAACUGUGCAAAAUCUGAUUUCUAUUCCAAUACAGAGAUGUGGUACUGAGGUCAGCAUCCACUUACACAACCUUAGGCCCACAGUAUCACCACAAAGAUCACAGGAGUUUCAACAAUGUUAUGGAAAAACUCAAAACAAAAGCCUGGGCUCAGAAUUUAGAAUUGGGAAGUUGGACUCCAACCAUGCUCUUUAACCCAACCUUUUCAGCAGUGAGAAAAAAAAAAUGGAAGAAAGGAAGCACCUCAUCAAGACAUUCAGCGUUACACUGACACAAAAGUUGUUCUCUUGGACCAACCUGUGAAUACAUGUAGAUUCUUUAAAAAGACCUGGAUUCCAACUCAAAUAAAUAACAUCAUAGUACUGGCACAGGUCCUCCCAGGCAAUCCAGAAAAUCCCUAAAAAGGAAGUGCUGUUAUUGUUUGCUUACCAGAAAUGUUUAAUUUACUCAUUUUUCAAGAGUCCCUUUCCAGGCAAAUAAUACAGCUGAUAUAAAUCCCAAAUUUAUAUGAAACAGAGUAGUAACAUCUGCACUGCCUACAUUCCUGAAGUUAAACUUAACCCACAAAGCAAACAAGUUAAACCAAGAAAGAUUUUUAACUACCAGACUCUACGGAUGCACUAAUUCCUUACUAAAUGGAUCUAUGUAAAUAAUGAGCUAAUCUCUCCUAACUACCAAAAGCCAGGCCUACUAUUCUUACAUACUGCAUGAAGUUCGUAAUAAAAUGGUAAAAUCUAAUGCACUUGGAUGCAUACUGUUGUUGAAAUGAAGUGGCAUUAAACAAAAGGGUUUCCUCACUUACUCCACCUGUUUCUUGUGCUCAAGUGUUUCUUUCCACCUUUCGGCAGGGAUAAACCACCAAGGUCUGCAUUAUUUGAAUAUAUAGUGACUUUCUAUGCCUUAUUACCGUUGUCUAUUUUCUGAGCUGUUCUUGGAUCAAAGUUCAAGUAUUUUUGUAAAUCUGGGGUCCAACUUCUUGUGUCAUUUUCACUGUAUCGUCCCUUCCAACGUAAGUGGCUCCAUGGAUUUUUCAACUGGAGGAAUCUAAGCCCCUGAAAAAACACAGGAUAAAACUGCUGGAUUCACCUUAUCAAGGUUAUUUCUCUAUUUAUAUGAACAUGGAAUAGUGAUCAGCAUCUUUAUGAAAUACAGCAUCAUUAAGCUUUCCAGAAUUUCCCAGUUUUUGAAGACAAAAUAAACUAAAGAUCAGUAGCAACCCAUCUUAGACAAAGGUUUCAAGCUGGUAUCUGAACAAAAUGUUCAGUUUUACUUGGUACCUUAUGUUCUCUUAUAUCCAAGACUGCGUAGGCAUGGGUUGGAACUAAACCCCAUUUUUCUCCUUCCUCUUCAGACAUCACACCUGUUGCUGUUGUGAUAAGGACAUCUCCCUUAUGAAAUCUGUUAAAAAAAAAAGUAACAUUUUAAUUAAGCUAUUUUUAACAGCUGCAAACUAACAUUUGACAGAUACUGCAGUAGUAUGUUUGUACAUUGUUAGUAUGAUCCUACUUUAUAGGAAUACAGGUUGUUUAUUGUAAGCAGAAAUCAGACCUGAAGAUACUUCAGAACACAGAACUAUUUUCUUCCAGUAUUUCAGUACAGACUGAAUGUGAUAUAGAAGGUUAUUGUCAUUACAACAUAAAAAUAAGCAUUUGUCAUUCUAAAAUUCAAUCUGCGUCAUUUAUUAAAAAUUCUCCUCACAGAUCUUCAGCUGAACACAGAAAUGGUUUCAUCAACACUUACUUAAAUCACUGCAUACAGUGAAU